UCUACGGAUCGUUCAUUUUGCUCUUGACCUUCGUGUGGGUUGUGUCGUUGUGCAGUCGUCUGACGAAGAAAAAGGAAAUAAAGUGACUUGCAGCUCAUAAUGAAAACUUUCUAACUGUUUCUAAAGAUUGGGAAAUUUAUAUAUCUUUCUAGAAAAUGGAUGAUAAUAGGAACAACAAAUCCUGACCAUAAAAUAAAAAAAGAAGAAUGCAAGAUACAUAUGAAUGUGUUUAUUUGCCAGGAAAUAAGAUGAAGUUGGCCUUCAAUAGGAAAUCACAGUAUAACAUAAAAUGAUAUAGAGAAAUAUUUUAUGAUUUCCGGAUAUAUAUGCCAUGUUCAUUUUGGAUUUAUUCCCAAUGUUCUGUGAACAUUCCAAUUCAUUUCUUCAAGGACAGAAACACCCCUAAACACAGAAUAAAUCUGCUAUGAUGAAUAAUGUUAAAUCUUGUUGGAGUUUUCCAAAGUCUAAUCAGCAUCAAUUCACAAUUUGUGGCGACAUAAUCGACUGACUUGUGCAGAUGAAAUUUAAAGGUACAUGAAUGUGGCUCUAACAUGAACAUCGAGUACUUCUAUGUGAGAAAUAUAGAGGUAUAGACAUGGAAAAACCGUAAAGUAAUAAAAUAAAUAAAAUGUAAUAAACAAGAGGAAAUAAAUAGCGGAUGCUC
RNAcentral lists this unclassified non-coding RNA (664 nucleotides) under Harpegnathos saltator (Jerdon's jumping ant). Its description in RNAcentral is "uncharacterized LOC105181763, transcript variant X1". The record is from RNAcentral. Lineage: Eukaryota; Metazoa; Arthropoda; Insecta; Hymenoptera; Formicidae.